UAGGGAAUAUUGGUCAAUGGGUGAGAGCCUGAACCAGCCAUGCCGCGUGCAGGAAGAAGGCCUUCUGGGUUGUAAACUGCUUUUGUCAGGGGAUAAAAUAGCUUUGCGAAGCAAAUUGAAGGUACCUGGUGAAUAAGCCACGGCUAACUACGUGCCAGCAGCCGCGGUAAUACAGAGGUGGCAAGCGUUGUUCGGAAUUACUGGGCGUAAAGGGCGCGUAGGCGGCCCUCUAAGUCAGACGUGAAAUCCCCCGGCUUAACCUGGGAACUGCGUCUGAUACUGGAGGGCUUGAGUAUGGGAGAGGGAUGUAGAAUUCCAGGUGUAGCGGUGAAAUGCGUAGAUAUCUGGAGGAAUACCGGUGGCGAAGGCGGCAUCCUGGACCAUUACUGACGCUGAGGCGCGAAAGCUAGGGGAGCAAACGGGAUUAGAUACCCCAGUAGUCCCUGAGCGGGCUGGCAAGGCGCAU
This 466-nucleotide ribosomal RNA is filed under the name uncultured bacterium. RNAcentral's name for it is "bacterial SSU rRNA". It matches the Rfam family "Bacterial small subunit ribosomal RNA", at positions 355 to 825 of the family's 1533-position model. The record is from RNAcentral.